GCAGUAAGGCUGGUGUGUGCAGUAACCACACUGAUCGCCAGGGUUGGUUAGGCUGAUCCCGCUGGCUGGAUGGGGUUCCCUUUCUCCCUCACUGCUCCAUGUGUGUCCCUCCCAAAGCUGCGCACCUGGUCAGAGAACACGCCCACCCCAGUGGAGGAGGACUGUUCCCUUGGUGAGGGUGUAUGAGUAGCUGUGUCCCCUGCCAUCGCCUCUAAAUAAGCUCUCAAGUUACAGUGAGGCUUCUGAUCAUAGGCAGGGUAUUGCUAGUUAAGUUUUUUUGGAAUCAAAAAUUAUAAUGAUUUUU
This 304-nucleotide small nuclear RNA is filed under the name Octodon degus (degu). RNAcentral describes it as "7SK RNA (ENSODEG00000023042.1)". It matches the Rfam family "7SK RNA". From Rfam's summary of the family: 7SK was discovered as an abundant small nuclear RNA in the mid-70s but a possible function has only recently been suggested. Two independent studies have found that 7SK RNA binds the CDK9/cyclin T complex (known as elongation factor P-TEFb). Lineage: Eukaryota; Metazoa; Chordata; Mammalia; Rodentia; Octodontidae. The record is from Rfam by way of RNAcentral.